RNAcentral lists this ribosomal RNA (464 nucleotides) under Vreelandella stevensii. Its description in RNAcentral is "partial 16S ribosomal RNA". It matches the Rfam family "Bacterial small subunit ribosomal RNA", at positions 338 to 795 of the family's 1533-position model. The record is from RNAcentral. Lineage: Bacteria; Pseudomonadati; Pseudomonadota; Gammaproteobacteria; Oceanospirillales; Halomonadaceae.
CCUACGGGCGGCAGCAGUGGGGAAUAUUGGACAAUGGGGGCAACCCUGAUCCAGCCAUGCCGCGUGUGUGAAGAAGGCCCUCGGGUUGUAAAGCACUUUCAGUGAGGAAGAACGCCUGGUGGUUAAUACCCAUCAGGAAAGACAUCACUCACAGAAGAAGCACCGGCUAACUCCGUGCCAGCAGCCGCGGUAAUACGGAGGGUGCGAGCGUUAAUCGGAAUUACUGGGCGUAAAGCGCGCGUAGGUGGCUUGAUAAGCCGGUUGUGAAAGCCCCGGGCUCAACCUGGGAACGGCAUCCGGAACUGUCAAGCUAGAGUGCAGGAGAGGAAGGUAGAAUUCCCGGUGUAGCGGUGAAAUGCGUAGAGAUCGGGAGGAAUACCAGUGGCGAAGGCGGCCUUCUGGACUGACACUGACACUGAGGUGCGAAAGCGUGGGUAGCAAACAGGAUUAGUACCCUGGUAGUC